This 1886-nucleotide unclassified non-coding RNA is filed under the name Hevea brasiliensis (rubber tree). The record is from RNAcentral. Lineage: Eukaryota; Viridiplantae; Streptophyta; Magnoliopsida; Malpighiales; Euphorbiaceae.
AGGUAAUAGAAUCUGAUUAGUCAGUUGGACCAAACAAUAAGUGAUUUAAUUGAUCACUUGUAACUAAUAGUUUGCUCUGGAACCUGAGUGACCUAAUUUCUUUUUCUUUUCCUUCACCAGAAAUUAUAAAAUUUCUUAACAAGACGAAGAGAUCUUAUGUUGGGAUCUAAUGAUUCUCGCAAACAAACUAAGGGAGAGGGACUGAAUAACAUUGAGGAUAUAUUUGAUCUCCAAAGCUAAAUACACUUCUAGUUUAUUAAAAAAGGAAGCAAAAAAUUGAAAAUGGAAAACUAAGUAAAAUUGCACAACAUUGAAAUUUGACAGCCAUGGAAAUUUUAUCGUCCACAAGAGUUCCCACCAUCAUGCUGAGCCAAACAUCAAAAUGCCUACAGAAGCUCUACAACAAGAGCGGAUGCACCUCCUCCACCAUUGCAAACGCCACCAACACCAUAUUUCCCAUUUUUUUGCCUCAAUACCCCCAAAAGUGUGACCAAGAUACGAGCGCCACUGCAACCUAGUGGAUGACCCAAGGAUACCGCUCCACCAUGUACAUUAACCUUUUCUGGAUUAAGUCCAAGCAGUUUCUGAUUUGCAAGAGCUACAACAGCAAAGGCUUCAUUUAUUUCAUAGUAAUCAACUUGAGAAGCAUCCAAGCCCGCAUUUGAUACAGCUUUAGGUAUUGCCAGUGCUGGAGCUGUUGUAAAUAACUCUGGUGCCUGAGCAGCAUCAGCAUAUCCUGUGAUCUUUGCAAUCACUUGCAAACCAAGCUUAAGAGCAGUCUCUCCACUCACCAGAACCAAAGCAGCAGCACCAUCACUUAUGCUAGAGGCAUUGCCAGCGGUAACUGUGCCUCCAUUCUCUUUAAAACUUGGUCGGAGUUUCCUCAAUUUUACAGGGUCAAACUGGCAAAACACAACAACAAAAUAGAAGAAUGUAACAGCAGAGCAAGUUAGAUGGCGUUAGUUGAUUUUACAUCUAACAGAAGGUCCAUUUGCGACCAGCCACCCCCAAGAUAAAAGAAGGGUAUGCAUCUUGAUAAGGUAUUCUUGUAAUCUUUUAACCAUUCAUCUAUAUUAUCAAGAAGCAACUCACGGACUUUAGACGAAGGCAAGAAAUAAGAAUGAACGUGUGUCAUUGAUAUGGAAUAUGAGUAAAAAUAUAACAUAUACCUUCCCUAAGCCUUCAUCCUUAUCAACAAUUGUUGAAGGUUUUCCCCUUCCCCCAGAAACUUCAACCGGAACAAUUUCCCAUGCAAAGGCACCACUGUCUUGGGCAGCAAUACCACGCUCAAAACUGUGAAUAGCAUAGUUAUCCUGAUCCUCUCUUCUUAUUGAAUGAUUAUCUGCACAUAUUUCAGCACAACUUCCCAUGCCAACAUCAUUAUAAACAUCCCACAACCCAUCUUUCAGCAUUCCAUCAACUACUGAAUCAUGUCCAAGUCGUGAUCCCUUCCUUGCUUCUGCCAGGUAUUUAGGUGCAUUAGACAUGCUUUCCAUGCCUCCAGCAACAACAACAUCAUUGAUUCCUAGCUGGAUACUCUGGGCUGCAAGCAUAGUUGCUUUCAUCCCCGAAGCACAAACUUUGUUAACAGUGGUGCAGACCACUGAAUUAGGAAUUCCCGCACCUAAUGCAGCCUGUCUAGCAGGAGCCUGCCCUAAAUUUGCACUGAGAACGUUGCCAAAGAAAACUUCUUGUACAAGUGAUGGAUCAACAUUGGCCCUUUUAAGAGCAGCUUCAAUAGCUAUAGAUCCCAGCUUGGUGGCAGGUAAAGUAGAUAGUAAACCAAGAAAUCCACCCAUUGGUGUGCGGGCAACACCAACAAUGCAAACAUCUCUAGGCUUUAUUUCUGCUGCUACUGCUGUUGCUGCUGCUGGGGCCAUGUAUUA